GGGAAAUAAGAAUGUCCUGGAAUCAGAUCCUGAUGAUGGCUGCACAACCUUGUGGACCUACUAAAAACCACUGAGUUGUAGAGUUGAAAAGGGCUUAAUAGUUUAGAAAACAUCCUAGAAAAAUGGAGUCCGGAUGUCAAGCGAUUCGGCCCCGACAUGCCCAUCGUCCCGCUUGCGAACAAGAAGCAUCUCCAGAACGAUGAGCGCCCAGGGCAGGAGCUGACCAAGGUGAAGGGGGAGCUGGUAAAGGCCUUUUCUGCCUUCCUUUGGUUUCAUGCUUGAGGCACCCAUACCCAGCCAGCACUCACUCCCCCUUCUGAGGACCCCGCCGUGGUGUCACAGCAUGCAAAAGUCCUCAGUGUGCAGAGCUGUGAGCCCAUUGCAGCAACCACCCAGCACAGGUUCAUCUCAUCCAGCUGGAAUAUGAAACCAUCUGUCCACGUGAGCAGAGGAAACCCUAGGACCUGGCAUCAGACUGUGAAUGUGGUUGAGACUCGGCCCAACUGUCUGAACUCGCGCAGGUCGCUUCAAUUUCUCAGUCUCACCUUUAAAUCAGAAUAACCGUAGCACCAGCCUCCUGGGAAUGGAUUGAGUGGUGCCCACAAAAUGUCUCACACAGUAUCUAGUAUAGGG
Acinonyx jubatus (cheetah) is the source of this 633-nucleotide long non-coding RNA. RefSeq lists it as uncharacterized. The transcript is spliced from 3 exons. NCBI's taxonomy places the organism in Eukaryota, Metazoa, Chordata, Mammalia, Carnivora, Felidae. The record is from RefSeq and is a predicted model, not a curated record.